AUUGAACGCUGGCGGCAUGCUUUACACAUGCAAGUCGAACGGGCUUGGGGGCUUGCUCCCAAGUUAGUGGCGAACGGGUGAGUAAUACAUCGGAACGUACCGUGUAGUGGGGGAUAACGUAGCGAAAGUUACGCUAAUACCGCAUACAAUCUACGGAUGAAAGCAGGGGACCUUCGGGCCUUGUGCUAUACGAGCGGCCGAUGUCUGAUUAGCUAGUUGGUGAGGUAAAGGCUCACCAAGGCGACGAUCAGUAGCGGGUCUGAGAGGAUGAUCCGCCACACUGGGACUGAGACACGGCCCAGACUCCUACGGGAGGCAGCAGUGGGGAAUUUUGGACAAUGGGCGAAAGCCUGAUCCAGCCAUGCCGCGUGUCUGAAGAAGGCCUU
Molecule: ribosomal RNA, 386 nt
Filed under: uncultured bacterium
Lineage: Bacteria
Description: bacterial SSU rRNA
Rfam family: Bacterial small subunit ribosomal RNA
Source: RNAcentral